RNAcentral lists this ribosomal RNA (253 nucleotides) under uncultured bacterium. Its description in RNAcentral is "partial 16S ribosomal RNA". It matches the Rfam family "Bacterial small subunit ribosomal RNA", at positions 524 to 776 of the family's 1533-position model. The record is from RNAcentral.
UACAGAGGUCCCAAGCGUUGUUCGGAUUCAUUGGGCGUAAAGGGUGCGUAGGUGGCGGGGUAAGUCGGAUGUGAAAUCUCGGGGCUCAACCUCGAAACUGCAUUCGAUACUGCCUUGCUAGAGUACUGGAGAGGAGAUCGGAAUUUACGGUGUAGCAGUGAAAUGCGUAGAUAUCGUAAGGAAGACCAGUGGCGAAGGCGGAUCUCUGGACAGUUACUGACACUGAGGCACGAAGGCCAGGGGAGCAAACGGG